CAAAAAGAUGAAGGGGAUGUCAGAGAAAAAUGAUGACUCCUGAUCUCAUAUAAAAUGUGUAUUUUCCAGGCUUUGGACAUAGAGUCAGUGUACAAACAAUGAUAAGUAUAAUAUUUAUCCCACUCACUGAUUUUUUUUAAUGCUCUAACUUAAAGCUCUAAUUUUAAGCUCUCUUCUUGGGGCUUAAAGAUUAGGGAAGACAUAAGCCUU
RNAcentral lists this long non-coding RNA (210 nucleotides) under Zalophus californianus (California sea lion). RNAcentral describes it as "lncRNA (ENSZCAG00015011878.1)". The record is from RNAcentral. Lineage: Eukaryota; Metazoa; Chordata; Mammalia; Carnivora; Otariidae.